Long non-coding RNA from Marmota monax (woodchuck), 1185 nucleotides. RefSeq lists it as uncharacterized. The record is from RefSeq and is a predicted model, not a curated record. The transcript has 4 exons. Lineage: Eukaryota; Metazoa; Chordata; Mammalia; Rodentia; Sciuridae.
ACACGAUGUUCUGCCAAGUGGUCUAGGAGGGCUCUGAGAAAAUUUUUAUCUGUUAUUAACAAAGAGCAGAGCUCAGAAUGCUCUGGUCCAAGAGUAGAUUAAGCCAUGAGAGGCAGGUUACUUCUGAUUAGUAAGUUACUUCUGUAUAUUAUGUUUAACAAGCUUAAAGACUGAGUCAUUGCUGUUGGAAUGCUGCCUUCUUUGUUCACAACACUAUAAAAAGACUGCUGUAUUCAAUGAAGGGGCUCCUUCUGCUUCUUCUUCAUUGUUCAUGCUGACCUGCAUUUGAGUUAUUUGUGGUACUUGGCAUAGUCCACAGGAUCCUGCACCAAAAGGGCAAAAUGCCUUUUUAGGUACCUUCAGGACUUAUCAAAUUGCAGAAUGAGUGACCCAUUUGUCAGACAAUUUCAGGAGCUGGCAAUGCAGAGAACCUCUACGAUGGUGACAGAAACAGCAGAAUCCCCAACAUGAGGACAGAUGUAAAGGUUGACUCAAGAAGCUGAAAAAAAAUCUUCUAUUAGCUUUGCUUGCAAUUAUUAAUUUCCAGUUGCUUCUGUAAAUGCCACAGCUAUGAUAGCUGGCAUUGCUUUGAUUCAAGAAAUUCAAACUGCAGAUUUCAUGAGUGCAUGGGAUCAAGAUGCUCAUUUAUUAUGGCAACAACAAAAGGUUUUAGACUCUCAAUUGAAUACAGAUGUGAUAAAUCUACAACAUACUGUUUCCUGGCUUGGCAAUCAAAAACAAAAUGAAGGCGAUAUAGAAAAUCAGACAUGACUAUGAGUGUGCUUGCAACAAGUCGCCCUGCUGUCUUGGUGGAGCUUGCCUUCAAAAAGGAUAUUCAGCCAAGGUUUAGAUAAGGUGACUGUGAACAUGCUUGCAAAUGAGAUGCCUUGCUGUCUUUGAUGGAGCUAGCCUGCAAACUGGAUGUUCUUCCAAGUACAGUAGGAGGGCUCUGAGAAAAUUUUAUCUGUUGUUAGCAAAGAGCGGAGUUCAGAAUGCUCCAGCCCAAGAGUAGAUUAAGCCAUGAGAAGCACAUAACUUUUGAUUAGUAAGUUACUUCUGUAUAUUAUGUUUAGCUAGCUUAAAGACCUGAAUCAUUGGUUUUGGAAUGCUGCCUUUUUUGUUCACAAUACUAUAAACAGACUGCUGUAUUCAAUAAAGGGGCUUCUGCUUCUUCUUCCUUGUUUA